This 219-nucleotide ribosomal RNA is filed under the name uncultured Pseudomonas sp. RNAcentral's name for it is "partial 16S ribosomal RNA". It matches the Rfam family "Bacterial small subunit ribosomal RNA", at positions 1053 to 1271 of the family's 1533-position model. The record is from RNAcentral. Lineage: Bacteria; Pseudomonadati; Pseudomonadota; Gammaproteobacteria; Pseudomonadales; Pseudomonadaceae.
UGCCUUCUGUUGUCGUGAGAUGUUGGGUUAAGUCCCGUAACGAGCGCAACCCUUGUCCUUAGUUACCAGCACGUUAUGGUGGGCACUCUAAGGAGACUGCCGGUGACAAACCGGAGGAAGGUGGGGAUGACGUCAAGUCAUCAUGGCCCUUACGGCCUGGGCUACACACGUGCUACAAUGGUCGGUACAGAGGGUUGCCAAGCCGCGAGGUGGAGCUAA